RNAcentral lists this ribosomal RNA (200 nucleotides) under uncultured bacterium. Its description in RNAcentral is "partial 16S ribosomal RNA". It matches the Rfam family "Bacterial small subunit ribosomal RNA", at positions 28 to 221 of the family's 1533-position model. The record is from RNAcentral.
GAUGAACGCUGGCGGCGUGCCUAAUACAUGCAAGUCGAACGAGGUGCUCUUGUAGCAAUACGAGAGUAUCCUAGUGGCGAACGGGUGAGUAACGCGUUGGUGACCUACCCCAAAGUGUGGGAUAACAGUCCGAAAGGACUGCUAAUACCGCAUGUGGUUAUUGGAUUUAGAAACCGGUAACUAAAGGAGCAAUUCGCUUU